RNAcentral lists this ribosomal RNA (403 nucleotides) under uncultured bacterium. RNAcentral's name for it is "bacterial SSU rRNA". It matches the Rfam family "Bacterial small subunit ribosomal RNA", at positions 355 to 774 of the family's 1533-position model. The record is from RNAcentral.
UGGGGAAUCUUGCGCAAUGGGCGAAAGCCUGACGCAGCGACGCCGCGUGCGGGAUGAAGGCCUUCGGGUUGUAAACCGCUUUCAGCAGGGACGAAAUUGACGGUACCUGCAGAAGAAGCCCCGGCCAACUACGUGCCAGCAGCCGCGGUAAUACGUAGGGGGCGAGCGUUGUCCGGAAUUAUUGGGCGUAAAGAGCUCGUAGGCGGUUCGGCAAGUCACGUGUGAAAUCUCCACGCUCAACGUGGAGGCGUCACGUGAGACUGCUGUGACUCGAGUCCGGUAGGGGAGCGUGGAAUUCCCGGUGUAGCGGUGAAAUGCGCAGAGAUCGGGAGGAACACCCGUAGCGAAGGCGGCGCUCUGGGCCGGUACUGACGCUGAGGAGCGAAAGCGUGGGGAGCAAACA